CCUAUGAAAUCGAGUGGCAAACGGGUGAGUAACGCGUAAACAACCUGCCCUUCAGAUGGGGAUAACAGCCGGAAACGGCUGCUAAUACCGAAUACGAUCUUUUCGUCGCAUGACGGAAAGAAGAAAGGAUGGCCUCUAUACAAAGCUAUCGCCGAAGGAGGGGUUUGCGUCUGAUUAGCUGGUUGGAGGGGUAACGGCCCAACAAGGCGAUGAUCAGUAGCCGGUCUGAGAGGAUGAACGGCCACAUUGGGACUGAGACACGGCUCAGACUCCUACGGGAGGCAGCAGUGGGGAAUCUUCUGCAAUGGACGAAAGUCUGACGGAGCAACGCCGCGUGAGUGAAGAAGGUCUUCGGAUUGUAAAACUCUGUUAUACGGGACGAAAAAGACGGAUGCCAACAGUAUCCGUCUGUGACGGU
RNAcentral lists this ribosomal RNA (418 nucleotides) under uncultured bacterium. RNAcentral's name for it is "bacterial SSU rRNA". It matches the Rfam family "Bacterial small subunit ribosomal RNA", at positions 82 to 476 of the family's 1533-position model. The record is from RNAcentral.